UUAAAAGUCUAAUCUGCCCAAUGAUUUAAAAUUAAAUGGCCGCGGUAAAUUGACCGUGCAAAGGUAGCAUAAUAAAUAGUCUUUUAAUUGGAGGCUUGAAUGAAUGAUUGAAUGAAAAAUUAACUUAAUUAAUGUUAAUAAUUGAAAUUGAUUUUUAAGUAAAAAAGCUUAAAUAUAUAAGUGGGACGAGAAGACCCUAUAGAAUUUUGAAAAUUUUCUUGAGUUUAUUAAUUUGUAGUUAAUUAAUUUUUUUUAUUUAAUUGAUUUUUUUGUUGGGGUGAUAUUAAAAUAGAAUUAACUUUUAAUAAAUAUUUCAUGAAUAUAUGUUUUUAUUGAUCCAAAUUUUUGAUUAUAAGAAUAAAUUACCUUAGGGAUAACAGCGUAAUUAAUUUGAAGAGUUCAUAUCGAUAAAUAAGAUUGCGACCUCGAUGUUGGAUUAAGAAUAGGAAUUGGAGCAAAAUUUAUUAUUUCUGGGUCUGUUCGACCUUUAAUAU
RNAcentral lists this ribosomal RNA (494 nucleotides) under Rhodopsalta leptomera. RNAcentral's name for it is "partial large subunit ribosomal RNA". The record is from RNAcentral. Lineage: Eukaryota; Metazoa; Arthropoda; Insecta; Hemiptera; Cicadidae.